GAUUGUGCAGCGAUAAUUGUAUAUUUAAGCAUCCACUUCCCAAAUACACAUAUACAUUUAUGCAAAUACUAUCAUAUAUUAAUAUUUACUGCAAGAAUUAUAUCAGUUUAGCAACACAAAUAAACAAAAGAAAAAUCACAAAGUGAGGGUAGUGUUGAGUGGGUGUCAACCCAAGUCCCACAUCUUAAAGAUAAAGCAGAUUUGUUUUCAAAAUAAGUAGCCAAACAAGUCCAUUAAUUAGGAUGAGUUCUUUUGAUACGCGGAGCCAAAAAUAAAGCCGUGCAUCCUCUGCCACAG
RNAcentral lists this long non-coding RNA (297 nucleotides) under Daucus carota (carrot). Its description in RNAcentral is "long non-coding RNA (DCAR_LNC005768)". The record is from RNAcentral. Lineage: Eukaryota; Viridiplantae; Streptophyta; Magnoliopsida; Apiales; Apiaceae.